UAGGGAAUCUUCGGCAAUGGACGAAAGUCUGACCGAGCAACGCCGCGUGAGUGAAGAAGGUUUUCGGAUCGUAAAACUCUGUUGUUAGAGAAGAACAAGGACGUUAGUAACUGAACGUCCCCUGACGGUAUCUAACCAGAAAGCCACGGCUAACUACGUGCCAGCAGCCGCGGUAAUACGUAGGUGGCAAGCGUUGUCCGGAUUUAUUGGGCGUAAAGCGAGCGCAGGCGGUUUCUUAAGUCUGAUGUGAAAGCCCCCGGCUCAACCGGGGAGGGUCAUUUGAAACUGGGGGACUUGAGUGCAGAAGAGGAGAGUGGAAUUCCAUGUGUAGCGGUGAAAUGCGUAGAUAUAUGGAGGAACACCAGUGGCGAAGGCGGCGCUCUGGUCUGUAACUGACGCUGAGGCUCGAAAGCGUGGGGAGCAAACAGG
RNAcentral lists this ribosomal RNA (429 nucleotides) under Gemmatimonadota bacterium. Its description in RNAcentral is "Gemmatimonadetes bacterium partial 16S ribosomal RNA". It matches the Rfam family "Bacterial small subunit ribosomal RNA", at positions 355 to 776 of the family's 1533-position model. Lineage: Bacteria; Pseudomonadati; Gemmatimonadota. The record is from RNAcentral.